GAGGGUAGAGCUCAGUGGUAGAGUGCAUGAUGCCUUGCGUGCAUGAGGUCCUGGGUUCAACCCCUGGUACCUCCA
This 75-nucleotide transfer RNA is filed under the name Camelus bactrianus (Bactrian camel). It matches the Rfam family "tRNA". From Rfam's summary of the family: Transfer RNA (tRNA) molecules are approximately 80 nucleotides in length. RNAcentral also lists the same sequence under 2 other names. Lineage: Eukaryota; Metazoa; Chordata; Mammalia; Artiodactyla; Camelidae. The record is from Rfam by way of RNAcentral.